UACGUAGGGUGCAAGCGUUAAUCGGAAUUACUGGGCGUAAAGCGUACGCAGGCGGCUUUGCAAGACAGGUGUGAAAUCCCCGGGCCUAACCUGGGAACUGCAUUUGUGACUGCAUGGCUAGAGUUUGUCAGAGGGGGGUGGAAUUCCACGUGUAGCAGUGAAAUGCGUAGAUAUGUGGAGGAACACCGAUGGCGAAGGCAGCCCCCUGGGCUAACACUGACGCUCAUGCACGAAAGCGUGGGGAGCAAACAGG
This 253-nucleotide ribosomal RNA is filed under the name uncultured bacterium. RNAcentral's name for it is "partial 16S ribosomal RNA". It matches the Rfam family "Bacterial small subunit ribosomal RNA", at positions 524 to 776 of the family's 1533-position model. The record is from RNAcentral.